GCUAUUUUGUAACACAUUUAGUCAGACAACAUGGAAACCGGAUGGCCUUCAGUGCUGUGGGAUCCCCAACAAGAAAUGUUAUCUGGUUAAACUGGAAAUGUGAAAGUCGGAAGAAUUCGGAAAAUGGGUACUUUGUUCGACAGGUCCUCUCAGCUUCAUGAGGAAAUGUGUGAUGAGUUUCCAGUAGGACACAUCCUGACAGUUCCAGGUCUGAUGUCAUGUUGGUAUCUUCAAAGGGGCCUUUUCUGUCUAAACAUGGUUCAUUUCAAAUUCACAGCGAGAACACUUCCAAAAACACCACAGGUCCCACCUAAUGACAGGCCUGUAUGUUUGGAUACAAUUAAGGCAUUUACUGAAUUCUUCUUCUUCUUGAGUAUUUUAUUUAUGCUUACUUUUUUGCGAUUUUCGGAACUUUUAUUUGUGAAUAUAGUACCUCAGUGCUCUGCUCAGUAUAAUUAUUAGGCAAGGUUGGCAGCUAGCCAUGGUAACCAGGACAACCCCUUUAUCAUGUCUAAAGCCCCACAGAGGUUACAAUGAGGGCAUCAUUGUGUUCAGUGAAUCAGUAACCCUUUGUUGUAUCUCAGUUUACAGGGAUCUGCUCAGAGGACCGUUCUGAAAUCAGGUUGUUUGUAAAUGGCCAGAUAACAAGUGGCAUUUGGUUGUUAUUGCCCUAAGCGUGAAACAAAUGUCUAACCAGGGCCAUAACUACUGAGGGGGAUGAGUCCCCUUCAAUAAUUUGAUAUAGUCAAACUAUAAGAAAUACAGGACUGUGAUUACUGUAUUGUAAAUGAUUUCACAGUUAGCCUUAGAUCAAGUAUUAAAUUAACACUAGCAACAUACCAUUUGGGUUUUUCUUGUUGUGUGGCCAUCUUACGCCAAUGUGACCUAAUUGAAUCUCUAAUUAUACCAAGUGUAUACACACACACACACACCACAAAUCUAAAAACAAA
This is a long non-coding RNA of Carassius auratus (goldfish), 950 nucleotides long. RefSeq lists it as uncharacterized. Lineage: Eukaryota; Metazoa; Chordata; Actinopteri; Cypriniformes; Cyprinidae. The record is from RefSeq and is a predicted model, not a curated record. The transcript is spliced from 3 exons.